GGGUACACGAGCGGCGAACGGGUGAGUAACACGUGGGUGAUCUGCCUUGCACUUCGGGAUAAGCCUGGGAAACUGGGUCUAAUACCGGAUAUGACCACGGAAUGCAUGUUCUGUGGUGGAAAGAUUUAUCGGUGCGAGAUGGGCCCGCGGCCUAUCAGCUUGUUGGUGAGGUAACGGCUCACCAAGGCGACGACGGGUAGCCGACCUGAGAGGGUGACCGGCCACACUGGGACUGAGACACGGCCCAGACUCCUACGGGAGGCAGCAGUGGGGAAUAUUGCACAAUGGGCGCAAGCCUGAUGCAGCGACGCCGCGUGCGGGAUGACGGCCUUCGGGUUGUAAACCGCUUUUGACAGGGACGAAGCGCAAGUGACUGUACCUGUAGAAUAAGGACCGGCCAACUACGUGCCAGCAGCCGCGGUAAUACGUAGGGUCCGAGCGUUGUCCGGAAUUACUGGGCGUAAAGAGCUUGUAGGCGGUUCGUCGCGUCGUUUGUGAAAACUUGGGGCUCAACCUUAAGCUUGCAGGCGAUACGGGCGGACUAGAGUACUUCAGGGGAGACUGGAAUUCCUGGUGUAGCGGUGAAAUGCGCAGAUAUCAGGAGGAACACCGGUGGCGAAGGCGGGUCUCUGGGAAGUAACUGACGCUGAGAAGCGAAAGCAUGGGUAGCAAACAGGAUUAGAUACCCUGGUAGUCCAUGCCGUAAACGGUGGGUACUAG
This 720-nucleotide ribosomal RNA is filed under the name Nocardia sp. YIM 64841. Its description in RNAcentral is "bacterial SSU rRNA". It matches the Rfam family "Bacterial small subunit ribosomal RNA", at positions 85 to 819 of the family's 1533-position model. The record is from RNAcentral. Lineage: Bacteria; Bacillati; Actinomycetota; Actinomycetes; Mycobacteriales; Nocardiaceae.